AUUCCAGCUCCAAUAGCGUAUAUUAAAGUUGUUGCGGUUAAAAAGCUCGUAGUUGGAUCUCGGCGGGCAGGGGGUGGUUCGCUCUUCAGCGCUACUGCCCCGCUUUGCCCGUGUGAUUGGCGGAGGUUUCGGGGUGCUCUUCGUUGAGUGACUCGGAGCGCCGUCAGGUUUACUUUGAAAAAAUUAGAGUGCUCAAAGCAGGCUUUUCACGCUUGAAUAUUCGUGCAUGGAAUAAUGGAAUAGGAACUCGUUUCUAUUUUGUUGGUUUUCGGAAAUCGAGUUAAUGAUUAACAGGGACAAUUGGGGGCAUUAGUAUUCAGACGACAGAGGUGAAAUUCUUGGACCGUCUGAAGACUGACUACUGCGAAAGCAUUUGCCAAGAGUGUUUUCAUCG
RNAcentral lists this ribosomal RNA (394 nucleotides) under Oithona sp. RNAcentral's name for it is "partial small subunit ribosomal RNA". It matches the Rfam family "Eukaryotic small subunit ribosomal RNA", at positions 582 to 975 of the family's 1831-position model. The record is from RNAcentral. Lineage: Eukaryota; Metazoa; Arthropoda; Copepoda; Cyclopoida; Oithonidae.